This is a long non-coding RNA of Magnolia sinica, 217 nucleotides long. RefSeq lists it as uncharacterized. NCBI's taxonomy places the organism in Eukaryota, Viridiplantae, Streptophyta, Magnoliopsida, Magnoliales, Magnoliaceae. The transcript is spliced from 3 exons. The record is from RefSeq and is a predicted model, not a curated record.
GAACCCGAUUCAAGCCAAGUCGGGAUUAGUUGACAUCAAUGACCAAGAUUGGAGCUAGCCGAGCUCAAGUUAAAUCCAAGAUGAAGGGAGUUAAGGUCGGGUUGGAGAUUUCAACUUGGUUUGAUCCAAAGUCAAAUCGUACCAUGACUCAUCUAAGAUUGGAUUUGUGAACAUGUGUGAACGAUUUCAACAACAUUUGUAGCCAAUUCGACUCUUG